RNAcentral lists this ribosomal RNA (231 nucleotides) under uncultured fungus. RNAcentral describes it as "partial 18S ribosomal RNA". It matches the Rfam family "Eukaryotic small subunit ribosomal RNA", at positions 40 to 274 of the family's 1831-position model. Lineage: Eukaryota; Fungi. The record is from RNAcentral.
AAGAUUAAGCCAUGCAUGUCUAAGUGUAAGCAACUUAUACUGUGAAACUGCGAAUGGCUCAUUAAAUCAGUUAUCGUUUAUUUGAUAGUACCUUACUACAUGGAUACCUGUGGUAAUUCUAGGGCUAAUACAUGCUAAAAACCCCGACUUCGGAAGGGGUGUAUUUAUUAGAUAAAAAACCAACGCCCUUCGGGGCUCCUUGGUGAAUCAUAAUAACUUAACGAAUCGCAU